UUUAGUUUGUUUUCACAAAUACAGUCAUUACAGAUGUUUGGAGAAGAAUGGGUGUAGUUUUGGCCCCAAACAGGUCCUUACUGAAUGAAUUAGGAUCUACAGUCAUGACUAGAAGGAAAAUUCUCUAAGUCAGGCUGCCCUCCUCGAUCCUCUUCCAUCGUCGACAUUUCACAUAACCUCACUUCCAUUCCUGACAAAAGAGUACAAAAGACGUUCGACCUUCGGGUCAUGACCCCAUGGAUCAGUGGGGAGUCCGAGAAGUUUAACCGCUGCCCUGCAACUACUGUAUUAUGACGUCGCGUAAUAUCACGCCAGGAGUACACUUAAACAUAGUUCAAGCCAAUCCGUAAAACGUGUAUAUUUGAGCAUUUCCAAUUGUAAUCGCGCGAGCUAAUUC
Molecule: non-coding RNA, 397 nt
Organism: Pocillopora verrucosa
Lineage: Eukaryota; Metazoa; Cnidaria; Anthozoa; Scleractinia; Pocilloporidae
Source: RefSeq, a predicted model, not a curated record